Non-coding RNA from Pelobates cultripes (western spadefoot toad), 395 nucleotides. The record is from the annotation of a GenBank genome assembly. NCBI's taxonomy places the organism in Eukaryota, Metazoa, Chordata, Amphibia, Anura, Pelobatidae.
GUCCAAGAUGCAUUAUCUUGCACUUAUCCACAUUAAAUGUCAGUUGCCACAAUUCUGACCAUUUUUCUAGUUUACCUAAAUCAUUUGCCAUUUGGCUUAUCCCUCCUGGAACACUGCAAUAUCACUAAUAAAAAUAUUAAAGAGAAUGGGUCCAAGUACAGAUCCCUGAGGUACCCCACUGGUGACAAGUCCAAGCUUCGAAUAUAUUCCAUUAACUACAACCCUCAGUUGCCUGUCACUAAGCCACUGCCUUACCCAUUCAACAAUAUUGGAAUCCAAACUUAAAGAUUGCAGUUUAUUGAUAAGCCUUCUAUGUGCAACAGUGUCAAAAGCCUUACUGAAAUCUAGGUAAGCAAUGUCUACUGCACCACCCUGAUCUAUAAUUUUAGUUACCC